This is a long non-coding RNA of Rattus norvegicus (Norway rat), 512 nucleotides long. RefSeq lists it as uncharacterized. NCBI's taxonomy places the organism in Eukaryota, Metazoa, Chordata, Mammalia, Rodentia, Muridae. The record is from RefSeq and is a predicted model, not a curated record.
AGUUGGUGACUGUUUGGAGUCCUCUGUAGGCUGCAACCAGGAAGGUCAGGAAAAGUUUACAGAGCUGCUCAAAUGGAGAGCAAUCGCUCCACUAGAACUCCCGGGUCCUCUGGAAGCCCUGCACACUGUUCCAGAGAAAGGACCUGAAGCCUAUCAAAGCAGAGGCUGGGCUCCAGGCUCCCAGAGUAUCACAGGUGGAACCAUGUUGGCUUGGUGUGUUUUGUCUGGGCUCGAGCCGAGAUUUAAACAGCAACACCGAGCACCUGGCUUAAAGUUUGCAACAGUUUGAUCCUGAACUUCGUCCCUGGGCUUUGGAACUCUUAUUCCCGUAUCAAAUGAAGAGCUCAUCCCCAGCUUGCUUUUCUUCAGGAUUGUCGGAUGCCCGAGGCUGAAAGCUUCCGAGAGCAGGAAUAACUUGCUCGGGUUUUGUCCUCUUGACUUUGGCUGGCGUUACUUCUCUAUCUCAUUAUGGCUUUGAUGCUUUUAAGAAAAUUAAACAGAUAUUUCAUCCA